Molecule: long non-coding RNA, 681 nt
Organism: Capsicum annuum
Lineage: Eukaryota; Viridiplantae; Streptophyta; Magnoliopsida; Solanales; Solanaceae
Exons: 2
Source: RefSeq, a predicted model, not a curated record
UGACUUGGGGCAUCUAUAGGAAGGCUCUAAUCAGUUAAAAUACAUAGAAAUACAAAAAAAUGACCUGGCGGGUCGUUACAUCUAAUUUAUGAAAGCUUUAUUGUUACAGCUUUGAAUUUAUUGAAUUUUAUCAUAAAUCUUGAAUAUUUCACUUUACUCUAUGGGUCUUCUACUUCUUCCAAGAAAACACUCCAGAUAGAAAAGAGCCGAUGUGGAGAAUAAAUUAUUGGAGACAGUUGAAGAAGUCGGGUGAGCGCUUCGAGCUUCCAAUGCCAAGUGAACAAAAGCUCAAGUAAGUAAGUAGGUGAAAGAUAAUUCGUUAUCCUUGGUUCAAAGUGAAAUUCCUCCAAUUUGAAGGUGAUGACAGAGCCUCCAACAUGGAGGAGGAGAUGGACAAGCAAUUCAGUGGGAAUUCAAGAAACAUCUAUAUUGGAUGAAUUGUUUCCUCUUCAUAGAUUAUAUGUCUUCUCAGCUAAUGUGCUUUUAAUAUUCACGCAUUGAGGAGUGUGCCUAUAAUGUUUUUGUCCAUUUAGGAUCUAAGGUUUGUUUAGACCUUCCAUAAUAGAUUUUGAAAUUUAUAACAAUGUUGAGAUUGUCUAUUUGGUUUUCUUAGUUCUGUAAUAUAUGUAUAUACCAGUAAGCAUAAUGUUGUAAUGGACCAUUGUUUGGGUGCCUGAAUUA